GCGGCUACUGCUAUCAGGUUUCGACUAAGCCAUGCGAGUCAAGGGGUCGUAAGACACCGGCGUACUGCUCAGUAACACGCGGACAAUCUACCCCCAGGUGGAGGAUAACCUCGGGAAACUGAGGCUAAUACCCCAUAGUUGUCAUGUGCUGGAAUGCUUUGACGAUGAAAGAAUUUCGCCUGAGGAUAAGUCUGCGGCCUAUCAGGUAGUAUGUGGUGUAAAGGACCACAUAGCCUAAGACGGGUACGGGCCUUGAAAGAGGGAGCCCGGAGAUGGACUCUGAGACACUAGUCCAGGCCCUACGGGGCGCAGCAGGCGCGAAAACUGUGCAAUGCGCGCAAGCGCGACACGGGAAGCCUGAGUGCCUUAACUAUGUUAAGGCUUUUCUUGAUCCUAAAAAGCUCAAGGAAUAAGAGCUGGGUAAGACGGGUGCCAGCCGCCGCGGUAACACCCGCGGCUCGAGUGGUAGUCACUUUUAUUGAGCCUAAAGCGUUUGUAGCCGGAUUUGUAAAUCUCUAGGAAAAUACUUCUGCUUAACUGAAGAAAUUUUGGAGAGACUGCAAAUCUAGGGACCGGGUGAGGUUGAAUGUACUUCUGGGGUAGGGGUAAAAUCCUGUAAUCCUGGAAGGACGACCGGUGGCGAAGGCGUUCAACUAGAACGGAUCCGACGGUGAGGAACGAAGGCUAGGGGAGCAAACCGGAUUAGAUACCCGGGUAGUCCUAGCUGUAAACACUGCCCACUUGAUGUUGCUUUUCCGUUGAGGGAAGGCAGUGUCGGAGCGAAGGUGUUAAAUGGGCCGCUUGGGAAGUAUGGUCGCAAGACUGAAACUUAA
This 833-nucleotide ribosomal RNA is filed under the name archaeon enrichment culture. RNAcentral describes it as "bacterial SSU rRNA". It matches the Rfam family "Archaeal small subunit ribosomal RNA", at positions 20 to 859 of the family's 1478-position model. The record is from RNAcentral.